This 468-nucleotide ribosomal RNA is filed under the name uncultured bacterium. RNAcentral's name for it is "partial 16S ribosomal RNA". It matches the Rfam family "Bacterial small subunit ribosomal RNA", at positions 28 to 507 of the family's 1533-position model. The record is from RNAcentral.
GACGAACGCUGGCGGCGUGCUUAACACAUGCAAGUCGAACGGAAAGGCCCUGCUUUUGUGGGGUGCUCGAGUGGCGAACGGGUGAGUAACACGUGAGUAACCUGCCCUUGACUUUGGGAUAACUUCAGGAAACUGGGGCUAAUACCGGAUAGGAGCUUCUGCUGCAUGGUGGUGGUUGGAAAGUUUCGGCGGUUGGGGCUGGACUCGCGGCUUAUCAGCUUGUUUGUGGGGUAGUGGCUUACCAAGGCUUUGACGGGUAGCCGGCCUGAGAGGGUGACCGGCCACAUUGGGACUGAGAUACGGCCCAGACUCCUACGGGAGGCAGCAGGGGGGAAUAUUGCACAAUGGGCGGGAGCGUGAGGCGGCAACGCCGCGUGCGGGAUGACGGCCUUCGGGUUGUAAACCUCUUUCGCCUGUGACGAAGCGUGAGUGACGGUAAUGGGUAAAGAAGCACCGGCUAACUACGUG